GCGGUCUUCAACAAAAUGGGGAAAGUGUUGGCUGUUUUAUUGCUUCUUUUUUCUCUGCUUAGCAUAAUUUAUAGUGCAGAACGAGAUGGUGAGCAUUGCUACGGAUUUUGUGACCAGAAUACGAAUUGUGGUAUUAACGCAUACUGCGACUACAGAUAUAUCUACAGAGGAUUUUGCUGUAUAUAUCGAAGAGGUUAGCACUACUGAGAAAACGUAAUACAAAAAUGAGGAAAUGAGAAAGCACUAAAAGAGCUUCUUAAUGGAUGGUCUAUUGAUAAAUCCCUUUUGCCCUUGAAGAAAUAAAAUCUUGAGCAGACAAUAUAAAUUCUGAAAAUAAA
Saccostrea echinata is the source of this 338-nucleotide long non-coding RNA. RefSeq lists it as uncharacterized. The transcript is spliced from 3 exons. The record is from RefSeq and is a predicted model, not a curated record. NCBI's taxonomy places the organism in Eukaryota, Metazoa, Mollusca, Bivalvia, Ostreida, Ostreidae.